GAGGCUGUAGCUCAGUUGGUAGAGUGCUUGCCUAGCAUGCAUGAAGCUUGGGGUUCCAUCCCCAUCAACUCA
This 72-nucleotide transfer RNA is filed under the name Cricetulus griseus (Chinese hamster). It matches the Rfam family "tRNA". Rfam says of the family: Transfer RNA (tRNA) molecules are approximately 80 nucleotides in length. Their secondary structure includes four short double-helical elements and three loops (D, anti-codon, and T loops). Lineage: Eukaryota; Metazoa; Chordata; Mammalia; Rodentia; Cricetidae. The record is from Rfam by way of RNAcentral.